This 959-nucleotide long non-coding RNA is filed under the name Zonotrichia albicollis (white-throated sparrow). Its description in RNAcentral is "lncRNA (ENSZALG00000001159.1)". Lineage: Eukaryota; Metazoa; Chordata; Aves; Passeriformes; Passerellidae. The record is from RNAcentral.
UCAGUUUGAAGUGUGCCACAGGACUGCACUGGGUUUUAAAGGGAUGUCAUAAAGGAGAUAGCUUUUAUUUUGCUGUACACUGAAGGUUGUGAAUUAGGAAAAUACCACCAGAGAAACAUUGCAGGUUUUGGAAACUACACCAGGACCACAGCUCUGCCCUGGAAUUUCAUUACAGUCUCCCGUGUACCUGGCAAGCAAUGGAGUAAAUCUGACCUUGAUAUUCAAAAUCAUGGGUUUUUUUAUUAACCUGACCUGUGUUACAGUGUCCACCCUUUGGGUACACAGGAGAAACCCCUCCAGCUGCACUCCAUACCCUGGGCAGCACCUGAAUUUCUGGUUAAAGACACGCAGAUGGGUCUUUGGAAAUCAUAAACUUUCUAAAGAGAUAGGGAAGAAGUACACAGGAACAAGGUCUUCAACUCCACUGGGACAUGAGGAACAUCUUUGUCUCUUCACAGAUCUGUCCCUUAGGAACUGCAGUCAAAUUCACUUGAACAAACAAAAUGUUUCCUUUUAACUGGCUGCUGUUUGUUAACUCAUGAAAGAGAAGAUGCUUGUUGUUCCCUUUAUUUUUUUUUUUUUGCUUUUGAUUUGCAUUGCAAGGUGAGUUUGUAAACGGAACUAAUAGAAAAAUCAAGGUUAAUGCUGCCUGAUCAAAUAAGAAUCAUGAAGUUUGCCCCUUUGCAGAGCAAUGGAUGAUAUCUGUGGUACUUUUUAUGAUGCUAAUAUGACACCAAGGUGAAAUGUGAACCUGGAACAUAAUGAAAUCAAGAGUUUAUGAUGAAUCAGUGAGCAAAAAGCAUUAUUUGGGUACACUAUUCUAGGAAACUCUCAAAAAACCCAUUCACUUUUUAUACAAUUCACUGAGGCUCAUCCAGUGAACCAAACACAGAAAUUGCCACAGGAUUUGAUGCAGUGGUGCCCCAUUCUUCAAAAAUAAAUUAUUCAAAAAUUCUGCA